This is a long non-coding RNA of Gorilla gorilla gorilla (western lowland gorilla), 928 nucleotides long. RefSeq lists it as uncharacterized. The transcript has 3 exons. Lineage: Eukaryota; Metazoa; Chordata; Mammalia; Primates; Hominidae. The record is from RefSeq and is a predicted model, not a curated record.
CGCCAUGCUGGCCAGGCUGGUCUCAGGUGAUCCGCCCGCCUCCUAAAGUGCUGGGAUUACAGGUGUGGGCCACCGCGCCCGACCUACAGGCGCCUUUUUAUUUGCGAUUUUAAGGUCCUUGCAAUUAGCCUACGUGUUAGAGUCAUUUGGCGUUUGGUAGUAUCCAUGGCAGCAUUUUUUUCUUUCUUAACGCUAUUGUAUUUCUUGGAUCGGGUGUCUUCACAUCACCGGCCUGUGGCUUGGAUGCGGCACAUGGUGUAAUUAGGAGCUCCCCUGUGGGCAUGCAGAUACAGAUAUUUCUCCACUUAAGAAGGGGUCAGGGGGCGCGGUGGCUCACACCUGUAAUCCCAGCACUUUGGGAUGCUGAGGCAGGCGGAUCACCUGAGGUCAGGAGUUCGAGACCAGCCUGACCAACAUAGUGAAACCCCAUCUCUACUAAAAGUACAAAAAUUAGCUGGGCGUGGUGGCGCUUAAUCCCAGCUACUCAAGAGGCUGAGGCAGGAGAAUAACUUGAACCCAGGAAGCGGAGGUUGCAGUGAGCAGAGAUCGACAAGAGCAAGACUCCGCCUAAAAAAAAAAAAAAAAAUGGGGUCAAGUCCCAGUGAACCCAUCAUGAAGUCGAAACAUCGUAAGUGAAACCACGAUGUUCACAGGUACCUGGAGUUUCUUCCUUCUGGUGGGUUCGUGGUCUCACUGACUUCAGGAGUAAAGCCGCAGACCUUCGCACUUCAUUUCUGGAACCUAAGUUGAUUUCUGUCAGAAGACUGGAGGUGUGUCGCUCUUGCUGAGAAUUUGGAACUGGAGCAGGGGGUGCGUGUGGAUACCCACGCUCUCAAACGAGAGAGAGCCAAGAAACGCAUUUGAGAAAUCGGGGUGGAGUGUGAAAGAGGAUUCACUAGACAUUAUGUUAACUAUGGAUUCUUCUAUG